RNAcentral lists this ribosomal RNA (540 nucleotides) under uncultured bacterium. RNAcentral's name for it is "partial 16S ribosomal RNA". It matches the Rfam family "Bacterial small subunit ribosomal RNA", at positions 355 to 882 of the family's 1533-position model. The record is from RNAcentral.
UGGGGAAUAUUGCACAAUGGGCGCAAGCCUGAUGCAGCCAUGCCGCGUGUGUGAAGAAGGCCUCGGGUUGUAAAGCACUUUCAGCGAGGAGGAAGGUGGUGAACUUAAUACGUUCAUCAAUUGACGUUACUCGCAGAAGAAGCACCGGCUAACUCCGUGCCAGCAGCCGCGGUAAUACGGAGGGUGCAAGCGUUAAUCGGAAUUACUGGGCGUAAAGCGCACGCAGGCGGUUUGUUAAGUCAGAUGUGAAAUCCCCGGGCUCAACCUGGGAACUGCAUUUGAAACUGGCAAGCUAGAGUCUCGUAGAGGGGGGCUAGAAUUCCAGGUGUAGCGGUGAAAUGCGUAGAGAUCUGGAGGAAUACCGGUGGCGAAGGCGGCCCCCCUGGACGAAGACUGACGCUCAGGUGCGAAAGGCGUGGGGGCAGCAAACAGGAUUAGAUACCCUGGUAGUCCACGCUGUAAACGAUGUCGAUUUUGGAGGUUGUGCCCUUGAGGCGUGGCUUCCGGAGCUAACGCGUUAAAUCGACCGCCUGGGGAGUA